AACGAACGCUAUCGGUAUGCUUAACACAUGCAAGUCGAACGGACUAAUUAGGGCUUUCUCCGAUUCUUUAGUGGCAGACGGGUGAGUAACACGUGGGUAUCUUCCCCUCAGUACUGAAUUACUUUUAGAAAUCUAAGCUAAUUCCCUAUAUUCUCUUCCGAGUACAGAUUUAUCGCUGAUGGAUGGCCCCGCGUCAGAUUAGGUAGUUGGUGUGGUAACUGCUAACCAAGCCGAGGAUCUGUAGCUGGUUUGAGAGGAGGAUCAGCUACACUGGGACUGAGACACAGACCAGAAUCGGACGGAAGGGAGCAGAGGGGAAUAUUGGAGAAUGGAGGAAAGUCUAAUAAAGCAACACCGAGGGAGAGAUAAAGGCGGUAGGGUUGUAAAGCUGUUUGAGAAAGGAAGAGAGUGACGGUAAUGGCAGAAGAAGCCCCGGCUAACUACGUG
RNAcentral lists this ribosomal RNA (447 nucleotides) under uncultured bacterium. RNAcentral's name for it is "partial 16S ribosomal RNA". It matches the Rfam family "Bacterial small subunit ribosomal RNA", at positions 29 to 507 of the family's 1533-position model. The record is from RNAcentral.